RNAcentral lists this unclassified non-coding RNA (168 nucleotides) under uncultured Fusarium. RNAcentral describes it as "sequence contains ITS2". Lineage: Eukaryota; Fungi; Ascomycota; Sordariomycetes; Hypocreales; Nectriaceae. The record is from RNAcentral.
CAACCCUCAAGCCCCAGUGGUUUGGUGUUGGUGGCCGGCCGGGGCUUUUUUGGUCCGGGCCGCCGCCGAAAUGCAGGGGCGGUCGCCUCGCGGUAACCAUUACGCAGUAGUAACAUCUCGUAACUUGGGACGCGGAGCGGCCACGCCUAACCCCCAAAUCUCCUAGAG